This 449-nucleotide ribosomal RNA is filed under the name uncultured bacterium. RNAcentral's name for it is "partial 16S ribosomal RNA". It matches the Rfam family "Bacterial small subunit ribosomal RNA", at positions 29 to 523 of the family's 1533-position model. The record is from RNAcentral.
AACGAACGCUGGCGGCAUGCCGAACACAUGCAAGUCGAACGAGAUCUUCGGGUCUAGUGGCGCACGGGUGCGUAACGCGUGGGAAUCUGCCCUUUGGUUCGGAAUAACAGUUGGAAACGACUGCUAAUACCGGAUGAUGACGAAAGUCCAAAGAUUUGUCGCCAGAGGAUGAGCCCGCGUAGGAUUAGCUAGUUGGUGUGGUAAAGGCGCACCAAGGCGACGAUCCUUAGCUGGUCUGAGAGGAUGAUCAGCCACACUGGGACUGAGACACGGCCCAGACUCCUACGGGAGGCAGCAGUGGGGAAUAUUGGACAAAGGGCGAAAGCCUGAUCCAGCAAUGCCGCGUGAGUGAUGAAGGCCUUAGGGUUGUAAAGCUCUUUUACCCGGGAUGAUAAUGACAGUACCGGGAGAAUAAGCUCCGGCUAACUCCGUGCCAGCCGCCGCAGUAA